AUGCAAAGAAGUUUAGAACACAUCAAAUUUUAUUUAAUUAGAGCGAUAUGCAACCCUUUCAAAUGAUUGUAUAAAGUUGUAAGACGGUGAAAGAAAUUGCAUGAAAAUAUUUUGUUUGCAUUGUACUCUAUUGUUCUAUUUCCUCCAUAUAUUUGAUGUUUUGAAAGGAAUUGAAGUUAUGCAACAAAAGUUAUAUAACUGCAAAUAUAAUGUUAGAUUCGAGUGAUAUAUAGAAUGGUUGACAAAUAUUUAAGUUAAAAAAAAAUCGAGGAAAGAAAAUAGGAAUGAAUACAAAUAUUGUUGAAGAAAAAUAGAGAAGAAUGAAGAUGUGUAAACUAAAAG
Molecule: long non-coding RNA, 342 nt
Filed under: Trifolium pratense (red clover)
Lineage: Eukaryota; Viridiplantae; Streptophyta; Magnoliopsida; Fabales; Fabaceae
Description: long non-coding RNA (TPRA_LNC006763)
Source: RNAcentral